This 203-nucleotide long non-coding RNA is filed under the name Lathyrus oleraceus (garden pea). Its description in RNAcentral is "Pisum sativum (pea) long non-coding RNA (PSAT_LNC001075)". The record is from RNAcentral. Lineage: Eukaryota; Viridiplantae; Streptophyta; Magnoliopsida; Fabales; Fabaceae.
UGUGAUUGUGCUUUCCCCACCCCCUUGUUCUGGCCCAGUUUUCUAUUUUUAACUAAAUUGCCUUUGGACCAAAUUACUAACCUGCACCCCCUUUGCCAUUUUCACUUAUUAUUUUAUUUUCGUUUUAUUUAAUUUCAUUUAAAAUGUUUCCCUUGGGCCAAAAAUUCUAAAUUAAUUCAUGAUUGACAUUUGGAAUAUUUUUU